RNAcentral lists this ribosomal RNA (221 nucleotides) under uncultured organism. RNAcentral's name for it is "partial 16S ribosomal RNA". It matches the Rfam family "Bacterial small subunit ribosomal RNA", at positions 346 to 558 of the family's 1533-position model. The record is from RNAcentral.
GCGCAGCAGUCGAGAAUUUUUCUCAAUGGGGGCAACCCUGAAGGAGCGACGCCGCGUGGACGGAUGAAGGCUUUCGGGUUGUAAACUCCUGUUAUUUGAGAACAAGGCUUACUAGUUAACUGCUAGUAAGUUGAUAGUAUCCGGAAGAGGAAGAGACGGCUAACUCUGUGCCAGCAGCCGCGGUAAUACAGAGGUCUCAAGCGUUGUUCGGAUUCAUUGGG